This 482-nucleotide ribosomal RNA is filed under the name uncultured bacterium. RNAcentral's name for it is "partial 16S ribosomal RNA". It matches the Rfam family "Bacterial small subunit ribosomal RNA", at positions 30 to 507 of the family's 1533-position model. The record is from RNAcentral.
AUUGAACGCUGGCGGCAUGCCUUACACAUGCAAGUCGAACGGUAACAGGUCUUCGGAUGCUGUCGAGUGGCGACCGGGUGAGUAAUACUUAGGCACGUGCCCGCUCGUGGGGGAUAACGGGGCGCAAGCUUUGCUCGUACCUCAUACGAUCUACGGAUGAAAACGGGAGGGUUUCGGACCUCGCGCGGACGGUGCGGUCGCUGGCAGAUUAGGUAGUUGGUGGGUUAAAAGCUUACCAAGCCGACGAUCUGUAGCUGGUCUGAGAGGGUGAUCAGCCACACUGGAACUGAGACACGGCCCAGACUCCUACGGGAGGCAGCAGUAGGGAAUUUUGGACAAUGGGCGAAAGCCUGACCCAGCCAUGCCGCGUGCAGGAUGAAGGCCUUGGGGUUGUAAACUGCUUUUAUACGGAACGAAAAGCCUCUUUCGAAUAAAGAGGGGUCAUGACGGUACCGAAAGAAUAAGCACCGGCUAACUACGUG